RNAcentral lists this ribosomal RNA (391 nucleotides) under uncultured bacterium. Its description in RNAcentral is "bacterial SSU rRNA". It matches the Rfam family "Bacterial small subunit ribosomal RNA", at positions 28 to 424 of the family's 1533-position model. The record is from RNAcentral.
GACGAACGCUGGCGGCGUGCUUAACACAUGCAAGUCGAGCGGAAAGGCCCUUUCGGGGGUACUCGAGCGGCGAACGGGUGAGUAACACGUGAGUAAUCUGCCCUUGGCUUUGGGAUAACUACCGGAAGCGGUGGCUAAUACCGGAUAUGACCAUGCUCGGCAUCGGGUGUGGUGGAAAGUUUUUCGGCCAGGGAUGUGCUCGCGGCCUAUCAGCUUGUUGGUGGGGUAAUGGCCUACCAAGGCUUCGACGGGUAGCCGGCCUGAGAGGGUGACCGGCCACACUGGGACUGAGACACGGCCCAGACUCCUACGGGAGGCAGCAGUGGGGAAUAUUGGACAAUGGGCGGAAGCCUGAUCCAGCAACGCCGCGUGAGGGAUGACGGCCUCGGUU